UUUUUUUUUCCCGCCCAAGCAAAACCACGGCACUAUAUUCAAAAAGGGUUUUGGACCCUCGGGAUACAAGGGUAGGGGAGACACACGCUGGAAACUUUUAGGCAAAGCCGGAUGAAGCGGGAGGGGAAAAGGAAACCCCCAACAAGGGGUUAUACCUUCAAGUAAACGGGCGAAGGGGAAGCCGGCAAUCAAACUUCAAAAUUUUGAAAUUUUUCCCCCCUCAGGGUUCCGGAGUUUGAAGAUUUUUUUGAAGGGGAAGUUUCGGGGGGGCGGCGNCCCGCCCUAAGUUGCUUGGGCACAGAGCGUCAUAGGAGAGGUGAGAAUUCCCNGUAUGUGGCCGGCGGNCCAAGGCCAUGUGAAAGCCCCCUUCGACGAGUCGAAUUNUUUGGGAAAUCAAGCUCCAAAACCGGUGGUAAAUUCCAUCUAAAAGCUAAAUCCCGGCCAGGAGACCGAUAGCGCACAAGUAGAGUGAUCCNAAAGAUGAAAAAGCGCUUUGCAAAGAGAGUUAAAACAGUACGUGAAAUUGUUGAGAGGGAAAGCGCUUGCGGCCAGACUUGCCCGGGGGGCGAUCAGCCCUCCCUUCGGGGUGGUGCACUCGCCCACGGUCAGGCCAGCAUCGGUUUUGGCGGCCGGACAAAGGCUUCCCC
This 647-nucleotide ribosomal RNA is filed under the name uncultured fungus. Its description in RNAcentral is "partial 28S ribosomal RNA". The stretch from base 152 to 647 matches the Rfam family "Eukaryotic large subunit ribosomal RNA", at positions 1 to 532 of the family's 3401-position model. Lineage: Eukaryota; Fungi. The record is from RNAcentral.